CCUACGGUGUGCAGCAGUGGGGAAUAUUGCACAAUGGGGGAAACCCUGAUGCAGCGACGCCGCGUGAGUGAAGAAGUAUUUCGGUAUGUAAAGCUCUGUCAGCAGGGAAGAAAAUGACGGUACCUGACCAAGAAGCCCCGGCUAACUACGUGCCAGCAGCCGCGGUCAUACGUAGGGGGCAAGCGUUAUCCGGAUUUACUGGGUGUAAAGGGAGCGUAGCCGGCAGGGCAAGUCUGGAGUGAAAGGCGGGGGCUCAACCCCCGGACUGCUCUGGAAACUGCCAGGCUGGAGUGCAGGAGAGGUAAGUGGAAUGCCUAGUGUAGCGGUGAAAUGCGUAGAUAUUAGGAGGAACACCAGUGGCGAAGGCGGCUUACUGGACUGUAACUGACGUUGAGGCUCGAAAGCGUGGGGAGUAAACAGGAUUAGAUACCCUAGUAGUC
RNAcentral lists this ribosomal RNA (440 nucleotides) under uncultured bacterium. RNAcentral's name for it is "partial 16S ribosomal RNA". It matches the Rfam family "Bacterial small subunit ribosomal RNA", at positions 338 to 795 of the family's 1533-position model. The record is from RNAcentral.